GUGUCCGCCGAGACGCGUCAGCCGCCACAGCCGUCGUCGUCGCGGGGUCCCUCCCCUCCGGCGGCCCGAGCCCCGCGGGGAGCGGCGCGGAGGGGAUGAGGCGAGCCUCGUCGCACCCACCGUAGCGGCGCGGCCGCCUCCGCCAUGAAACGGAAGAGCUUGGCGGAGGUCCGGCGCCGCGCGGCUCCGGCGCCGCCGGAUCUGAAGAGAACUCGGGGAGCGGCGGCGCGAGCGGCGCGAGGCGAGGCGGCGAGGCGGCAGGCGCCCCCCGCCGGGACGGAGAUCUGCCUGAGGAUCGCGGAUCGCCUUUAUUUUGCAAUUCUCUGCCAAAACCCAAAGAGUGGAGCUGCAGAUACCCAUUAUUUCUGCAUAGAUGAUGAGCUUGUAUAUGAGAACUUCUAUGCAGACUUUGGACCACUUAAUCUGGCAAUGGUCUACAGAUACUGCUGCAAACUAAAUAAGAAAUUGAAGUCAUUUUCAUUGAUAAGGAAGAAAAUAGUUCAUUAUACUGGCUUUGAUCAGAAAAAACAAGCAAAUGCUGCAUUCCUCAUAGGCUCCUACACAAUAAUAUACCUGAGAGAAUCCCCAGAAGAUGUCUACAGGCUUUUAUUGGCUGGAAGUGUUUCAUAUCUUCCUUUCAGGGAUGCUUCCUUUGGUACUUGCAGCUUUCAUCUGACAUUGCUGGACUGUUUUCAUGCAAUAAACAAGGCUUUGCAGUAUGGAUUCCUGGAUUUCAACACAUUUGAUGUAAAUGAAUAUGAGCAUUAUGAAAGAGCAGAAAAUGGAGAUUUUAACUGGAUAAUACCAAACAAAUUCAUUGCCUUCAGUGGACCUCAUUCAAGAAGUAAAAUUGAAAAUGGCUAUCCUCACCAUGCUCCAGAGGCUUAUUUCCCAUACUUCAGGAAACAUAAGGUCACUACUAUAAUACGCCUUAACAGAAAACUGUAUGAUGCCAAACGAUUCACAGAUGCUGGAUUUGAGCAUUUUGACCUCUUCUUUGCUGAUGGAAGCACACCUAGUGAUACUAUAGUUAAAUCAUUUCUAAAUAUUUGUGAAAAUGCAGAAGGUGUUAUAGCUGUUCACUGCAAAGCUGGCCUUGGACGAACUGGAACACUUAUUGCCUGUUACGUUAUGAAGCAUUAUCGAAUGACAGCUGCUGAAGCUAUUGGCUGGAUAAGAAUAAAUAGACCUGGUUCAGUGAUUGGACCACAACAGCACUUCCUGGUGGACAAACAGGCAGAACUUUGGACAGAAGGGGAUAUUUUCCGUGCAAAGCUGAAAGGAAACCAUAAAAUUGCUGUCACAAGAAUCCUGUCAGGAGUGGACGAUAUUUCAAUUAAUGACAGGAGAAACAGGAGAACCAUCCGAAAUGACAUUGAACUGUACAGUGAUGAAGAUGAAACAAACUGUUUAACACAAGGUGACAAGCUUCGUGCUCUGAAAAGCAGAAGGCAAUCAAAAGUUCCAACUGUGUCUGCACUAACAGUAAUUCUGCAGUCCAGUGUUCAGAAAAAUAAAACCUCUGAACCUAGCAUUUCUGACAGUAGAGACAUUACUAAAAGAACUACCAGGUCUGCUGCAAGAAAAAACAGUUUAAAAAGUUUAUUUUAAUUUCUUGAAGCUUGUGCAGUUUGCCUUACCUCAUAGCGCUCAAAUGACUGACCUGUUCCAGAUCAAGUGGAUUACAUGCAGCCAAUCCAUCCCAAGGACUAGAACAGUAUUGCGUUAAAUUUCAAAUGAGCAACCAGUUUUGAAGAGGAUAUUCAGAAACAAAGGGGAUAUGACUAGAGAGGACUUGAUGCAAUUCAAGGAAGAUUACUCUGGUUCCAUUUUUCGUCAAAGGAGAAACAGAAGACUCUCCUCGCUACUUGUAGAAUAAAAUGAACUAUCACCGUGCUUGGUAGACACCUUUCUAAUGUGCUAACUCUUCCUCAGACAAAACCAACAAAAUCUGUGUACUUUCAGACUCAGGUGUACAUGCUUAAGCUCCCUAUUAUAAAGAGGGCUUGCUAGCAUGUAUGAUGCACGUGUACGAAUUGUGAUGGCAAUCAACGUAGCUGCUGACAACAAUAACUGAAAAGACUGGGAGCUUUUAAAUACAUAAAUCUCUGUCAUCCAUUCAGACUGGGCUUAAGUAUCCACUUAAGACUGUAAAUUAAUCACUAAAGCUUUUUUCUUACAGUAUUGGUACUCUCCUGUGUUAAUGGGCUAUUCUUUCUUAUUUUGUAUGAGGUUUUAUAUGAAGCUAAGUACUGAGUACACAAAGCAACUAUAGUCCACUGAAGAGUGCUUUAUUUUCAAAGGUUUUGUGGUUUGUUUGUUCAGUUUGAAAAAGAAAACAACUAGGCAAUUACCUUCAUAGACUAGAAUCAUAGCAUGGUUUGGGCUGGAAAAAAAACUUAAAGGUCAUCUAGUUACAAUCCCUCUGACAUGUGCAGGGACAUUCUACUGGACCAGGUUGCUCAAAGCCUCACAGUCUUGAACACUUCCAGGGAUGGGCUAGCCACGACUUCUGUAAGCAGCCUGUUUCAGUAUCUCAGCACUCUUACAGUCAGGUUGUUUUUUUUUCCUGACAUCUACCUUUUUUUUUUCAGUGUGACACCAUAACUCCUUUUCCUAUCACUACACUCCAUGAUAAAGAGCCACUCAUCUUUCUUGUAGGCCCCAUUUUAAAUGCCGAAAGCCUCCCCAGAGGCAAUGCCUCUCGCUUUCCCUCUCCCUCUCUUCCAGGCAGAACCUCCCAAACUCUCUCAGCCUGUCCUCAUAGAGGAGGUGCUCCAGCCCUUAGAUCAUCUUCAUGGCACUCCUCUUGACCUGUUGGAGCAGGUCUAUGUCUUUCUUACACUGUAGACCCGAGAGCUGAAGACAGUACUCCAGGUGAGGUCUAGUGAGAGUGGAGCAGAGGGGCAAAAUCACAGGUAUUCUGAGUUGACACUGUACAAAUGUUUACUUGUUUUUAAUUGUUACAUAUUUUUACUUGAUUACAACCAGUGGCUCUUUUAAUUAGUUGUAAUUGCUUUAAAUCUGGUAUGAUUUUAAGGGAGAGGUAAAAGAGCUUCCCAUUUAAAACAGUGCAGUCAUAUUGAAAUGUCAUUACUGUUUCUUCUGCUAUCUUCAAAUCUGUUAGGUGAAAUGGUAGAUUACAGUAUCCCAAAUAUAAGCAUUUUUCCUAAGUUUUAGUGGUGUGCUUGAUAACAUGUGGAUGUCACUGGUUUUUAGCUUUGAGACAAUUAAGGGGUGUAGCAUACAAAAAAAGGGAAAAUAAGCUUGCUGUGCAACUGAUACUGGUAAUGGAACUCAGGGGCAGGUAUAGAUUUUAACAUUCAGUUAACGGUUCAAAAAAAGAGCUUACCUCUGCUAAAAAAAGUAGUGUGAUAUUUAGAGGAAUCUGACUGAGACUGAAAUUUUCAUCCACUACAAGAAUGUCUUCAGACACUGAUGGCGUUUUUUUCCCUACCAAUUUUUGUAUUCCGAGAUCUCAAAGCUGGCUUUGCAGCUCAGUUUGUCUGUCAUCUGAAGUUUACAGCUGCAUAUCCCUCAGAUGAGGACUGUUACCACAUAGCCUUAAAUAUGCGACAGCUGAUUUAGUGACUCUCAAGACAUAAAGUAAAAGAAACUGAGAGAUCUGGAGUGUUAGCAAUGGAAUAACUGAAGUUUUUAAAGGUACAGAUUACCUGUGCAAGACGGAUAAUUUUCUGGAUGUAAAUGAGCAGGUUCCAGGACUAGUGUUAAAAUAUAUUCCUUUAAGUUAAAAUUAAGCUUUCUGUUAAGCUGGGGAUUUUUGAAUGCAAAUAUAAAUAAUCACAUAUUGACUUGAAAACUUCCUGUAGCAGGAGCAUUAUGACUUGGAAAAGAAGCAGGAUGUGAAGGGCUAGUAACCUUACAUCCCUGAAUUUGGAAUAGCCUGAAUUUGCAAAUAUAAAUCCAAAGAAAACAGAAGAGAGUAGUGUGGUGUAAAAUAAAGGACCAUUGAGCACCUAAAUGAGAGGGACAGAACUCACCCUGGUACAGCAAUUAAACUUUCUUCUAGGUGAUUGGAUUUGGUUUGUUGGUUUUCUUUUUGACAUAGGUCACUUGCCCAAAAGCUGAAGCAGAGGUAACCACAAUAAUAGGUACAUUGUGCAAAUAUUAAUCUUUAUUUAUUAACAUUUUUUUUAUCCUAGAGAGCACAAGAGAUGAAAGUAGUGAGGUGAGAGGGGUGUGAACCAAAUCAGGAAAGAUUUAGUAAUAUUACUGUGUUUGGCUCUCAGCCAGUCUUCCUCUUUUAGCCUCUUUGUUUUUAACCUGAAAACAAUCAAGCCUAUUUCACACCCCUUCUAAAUUCCAGAUUGGAAUUUGCCUUUUGAGAUGCUAAUUUUUAAAGUAGCCAGCAGAGCCAUUCCAGGUUCAUCAGAAGUAAAUCUGCAUAAAACAAGUGUUCACACACACAAAACAGCUCUCACUGCGUGUUUGGCAUGAGUGUGUAUCAGGAUACUCUGGCUAUCCCCCAGUAUCUUAGUGACGAACACAGUCAUGUGAAAGGGAUUGUACAUCUGAACGCUGCAAGCAGCCUUUCGUGGAAAAAUGAACUCAUUACCUCACUGUGUCCCAAUUGACUGUAUUGUUUAGUUUGUUCUUCUAAAGUUUUAGUUCUUCGUGUAGCAUUUUUACUAUAUCAUACCAAAGCUGUCUUAAGGAUGAGAAUGAAAAGUGGGCAUGGGUGAGGGAGUCCUUGGUUUCUAAUCUUCAAAUUGUGAAGUAUUUCGUGCCAAAAGGGGAACAUUUGGUGGCAGCUGCCACAGUCUUGUACCGCAGAGCGGCCAAAGGAAGUUACCUCUGCUGUUAUCAGUUACGAUUUUUUCCUUGGAAGUUAUUUCAUCUCUGUCAAGUAUACGACAGAUGGAUUCUCCCCUGAUCUCUAUUAAAUAAAGUAUGCAACAUAACUCAAAAGCUGUAAUAUCUUGGGUCAGAUUGCUAGCUUCCAUUACAGCAUCGAUAACUUCUCAGAUGUUAGCCCACUCCUUGUCUUUGCACUUGUGUGACCACAGAAAAUGCUGGUGAUUAAAACGAAGAACCAACCAACCCACCAAGAUUUGACAAGACUCCUGUAUUAAAAUGUGGGGCAAGGAGGGGGGAAAAAGGCAAGAAAACAAGACAAACAAAUGGAACAAACCCAGAAAACAUGAUGCUGACCAGUUUGUUGCACUGCGGUUUUUAUAUAUUAGUGGUUUGCAGACUGUCUUGCAUAAACUCAUGUACAGACUAUCAAGGUCUAAGAAUUUCUUGACUAAUCAGUACUGUUCAUCCUGAUUAUUUUUAAAUUGUAUAUUUCUAUUCAUAUUUUUUUAACUUGGAUUGACAGAGUGGGAGUUUAUUUUGUUGGAGGUAUUUUUAAGAUAAAGCUUCAUAUUAUAAUACUAA
This is an RNA transcript of Pogoniulus pusillus (Red-fronted tinkerbird), 5400 nucleotides long. It is a transcript of the gene named cell division cycle 14B, with no coding region annotated. The record is from RefSeq and is a predicted model, not a curated record. The transcript has 15 exons. Lineage: Eukaryota; Metazoa; Chordata; Aves; Piciformes; Lybiidae.